RNAcentral lists this ribosomal RNA (258 nucleotides) under uncultured bacterium. RNAcentral's name for it is "partial 16S ribosomal RNA". It matches the Rfam family "Bacterial small subunit ribosomal RNA", at positions 1066 to 1321 of the family's 1533-position model. The record is from RNAcentral.
CGUGAGAUGUUGGGUUAAGUCCCGCAACGAGCGCAACCCCUAUCUUAUGUUACCAGCACGUUAUGGUGGGGACUCAUGAGAGACCGCCGCGGACAACGCGGAGGAAGGUGGGGAUGACGUUCAAGUCAUCAUGCCCCUUAUGACCUGGGCUACACACGUACUACAAUGGGUGUCAACAAAGAGAAGCGAAGCCGCGAGGCAGAGCAAACCUCAAAAACACACCCCCAGUUCAGAUUGCAGGCUGCAACCCGCCUGCAC